RNAcentral lists this long non-coding RNA (212 nucleotides) under Bos taurus (domestic cattle). RNAcentral's name for it is "long non-coding RNA NONBTAT017916". Lineage: Eukaryota; Metazoa; Chordata; Mammalia; Artiodactyla; Bovidae. The record is from RNAcentral.
ACCAGGUCAGUGCAAUGGCAGAAAGCAACCAUGUAGGACCAAGGAAAUGAAGGAAUGAUAGGUGGGGAUGAUUUAUGGGUUUCUUAACUCACCAACCAUCUAGAAAAACAGGAGUGACCAAAAAUAAGAAAUACAGUAUCUGGGAGGUUCAGAUACAACCUGUCACUGGAGGGGGGGAAAAAAAACUCCUUUAAUCUCUAAUUCAGUCAGAG